Molecule: unclassified non-coding RNA, 373 nt
Filed under: uncultured Acidobacteriota bacterium
Lineage: Bacteria; Pseudomonadati; Acidobacteriota
Description: uncultured Acidobacteria bacterium contains 16S-23S intergenic spacer region
Source: RNAcentral
UCCGGUUUAUCACCGGCAGUCUCCGCAGAGUGCCCACCAUAACGUGAUGGCAACAGCGGACAAGGGUUGCGCUCGUUGCGGGACUUAACCCAACAUCUCACGACACGAGCUGACGACAGCCAUGCAGCACCUCGACGAGUGUCCUUGCGGAAGCCCACUUUCGUGGGAUGUCACUCGCCGUUCGAGCCUGGGUAAGGUUCUUCGCGUUGCGUCGAAUUGAACCACAUGCUCCACCGCUUGUGCGGGCCCCCGUCAAUUCAUUUGAGUUUCAUUCUUGCGAACGUACUCCCCAGGUGGGUUACUUAUCACUUUCGCUUAGCCACUCAGUCUUACGACCAAACAGCUAGUAACCAUCGUUUACGGCGUAGACUAC